UCGGGGACUGCAGGCUCCCGUUUCCACGAAGACGCCGGUGCGUCCAAGCUCUGC
This 54-nucleotide non-coding RNA is filed under the name unclassified sequences. RNAcentral describes it as "chromate-resist RNA". It matches the Rfam family "chrB-b RNA". The record is from RNAcentral.